AAGUCCCGCAGGUCCUUAUCACUGAGUCGGUGAUCCUUCUCAAAGGUCCGAGCAGAGAUUAUUCUUCCACUGCCAAUCCUUCGUCCGCCAAGCAGGCGAAGCCCAUCACUGUCUUUUUCCAAUGGACUUCCUGAGUGCCGGGAACUAACAGCGGCUGUCACAUGGCAGCCCCCUCCAAAGCUUCGUCUCUGUGGGCUGAGAACAACAUCUAAGUCAUCUUCUUUCACACGCUCUCGUGGAUCUGGAAAGGUGGCAGAAAGGGAAAGUUAAGCAAACCAGUAGGGUAUUUUUAUUUUCUCACUGGUAUGUCCAUGACUAGUGGUGGUGAGAGUAUUGGAAAAGAAUUACCACUGAAAUAGUUACAGAGUGAUAUGUACAUUACAUAUUUAAAUAAGACUGAGUCUUUUGCUUUUUCUCUUUGGAGCAAUAAAUGUACUUCAUAAUAAUUUUCCAGGA
Molecule: long non-coding RNA, 456 nt
Filed under: Lynx pardinus (Iberian lynx)
Lineage: Eukaryota; Metazoa; Chordata; Mammalia; Carnivora; Felidae
Source: RNAcentral